RNAcentral lists this unclassified non-coding RNA (855 nucleotides) under Rattus norvegicus (Norway rat). RNAcentral's name for it is "GPX4 SECIS element from Rattus norvegicus (PDB 7ZJW, chain S)". The stretch from base 700 to 765 matches the Rfam family "Selenocysteine insertion sequence 1". Lineage: Eukaryota; Metazoa; Chordata; Mammalia; Rodentia; Muridae. The record is from RNAcentral.
AUUGGUCGGCUGGACGAGGGGAGGAGCCGCUGGCUCCCAGCCCCGCCGCGAUGAGCCUCGGCCGCCUUUGCCGCCUACUGAAGCCGGCGCUGCUCUGUGGGGCUCUGGCCGCGCCUGGCCUGGCCGGGACCAUGUGCGCGUCCCGGGACGACUGGCGCUGUGCGCGCUCCAUGCACGAGUUUUCCGCCAAGGACAUCGACGGGCACAUGGUUAACCUGGACAAGUACCGGGGCUUCGUGUGCAUCGUCACCAACGUGGCCUCCCAGUGAGGCAAGACCGAAGUAAACUACACUCAGCUCGUCGACCUGCACGCCCGAUACGCUGAGUGUGGUUUGCGGAUCCUGGCCUUCCCGUGUAACCAGUUCGGGAAGCAGGAGCCAGGGAGUAACGAAGAGAUCAAAGAGUUCGCCGCGGGCUACAACGUCAAAUUCGAUAUGUUCAGCAAGAUCUGCGUGAACGGGGACGACGCCCACCCGCUGUGGAAGUGGAUGAAGAUCCAACCCAAGGGCAAGGGCAUCCUGGGAAAUGCCAUCAAGUGGAACUUCACCAAGUUCCUCAUCGACAAGAACGGCUGCGUGGUGAAGCGCUACGGACCCAUGGAGGAGCCCCUGGUGAUAGAGAAGGACCUGCCCCACUAUUUCUAGCUCCACAAGUGUGUGGCCCCGCCCGAGCCCCUGCCCACGCCCUUGGAGCCUUCCACCGGCACUCAUGACGGUCUGCCUGAAAACCAGCCCGCUGGUGGGGCAGUCCCGAAAAUCCAGCGUGCACCCCGCCGGAGGAAGGUCCCAUGGCCUGCUGGGCUUGGCUCGGCGCCCCCACCCCUGGCUACCUUGUGGGAAUAAACAGACAAAUUAG